This 871-nucleotide ribosomal RNA is filed under the name uncultured organism. RNAcentral's name for it is "SSU rRNA". It matches the Rfam family "Bacterial small subunit ribosomal RNA", at positions 43 to 901 of the family's 1533-position model. The record is from RNAcentral.
CAUGCCUAAUACAUGCAAGUCGAACGAAGUCUCCAGGAAGCUUGCUUCCAAAGAGACUUAGUGGCGAACGGGUGAGUAACACGUAGGUAACCAGCCCAUGUGUCUGGGAUAACUGCUGGAAACGGUAGCUAAAACCGGAUAGGUAUACGGAGCGCAUGCUCUGUAUAUUAAAGCACCCUUCAAGGUGUGAACAUGGAUGGACCUGCGGCGCAUUAGCUAGUUGGUGAGGUAACGGCCCACCAAGGCGAUGAUGCGUAGCCGGCCUGAGAGGGUAAACGGCCACAUUGGGACUGAGACACGGCCUAAACUCCUACGGGAGGCAGCAGUAGGGAAUUUUCGUCAAUGGGGGGAACCCUGAACGAGCAAUGCCGCGUGAGUGAAGAAGGUCUUCGGAUCGUAAAGCUCUGUUGUAAGUGAAGAACGGCUCAUAGAGGAAAUGCUAUGGGAGUGACGGUAGCUUACCAGAAAGCCACGGCUAACUACGUGCCAGCAGCCGCGGUAAUACGUAGGUGGCAAGCGUUAUCCGGAAUCAUUGGGCGUAAAGGGUGCGUAGGUGGCGUACUAAGUCUGUAGUAAAAGGCAAUGGCUCAACCAUUGUAAGCUAUGGAAACUGGUAGGCUAGAGUGCAGAAGAGGGCGAUGGAAUUCCAUGUGUAGCGGUAAAAUGCGUAGAUAUAUGGAGGAACACCAGUGGCGAAGGCGGUCGCCUGGUCUGUAACUGACACUGAGGCACGAAAGCGUGGGGAGCAAAUAGGAUUAGAUACCCUAGUAGUCCACGCCGUAAACGAUGAGAACUAAGUGUUGGAGGAAUUCAGUGCUGCAGUUAACGCAAUAAGUUCUCCGCCUGGGGAAUAUGCACGCAAGUGUGAACU